RNAcentral lists this ribosomal RNA (447 nucleotides) under uncultured bacterium. RNAcentral describes it as "partial 16S ribosomal RNA". It matches the Rfam family "Bacterial small subunit ribosomal RNA", at positions 29 to 523 of the family's 1533-position model. The record is from RNAcentral.
AACGAACGCUGGCGGCAGGCCUAAUACAUGCAAGUCGAGGGGCCCGUAAGGGCACCGGCGCACGGGUGCGUAACGCGUGGGAAUAUACCCUUCACUACGGAACAACGUCGGGAAACUGAGGCUAAUACCGUAUGAUGACUCCGGUCCAAAGAUUUAUCGGUGAAGGAUUAGCCCGCGUCUGAUUAGCUAGUUGGUGAGGUAACGGCUCACCAAGGCGACGAUCAGUAGCUGGUCUGAGAGGAUGAUCAGCCACACUGGGACUGAGACACGGCCCAGACUCCUACGGGAGGCAGCAGUAAGGAAUAUUGGACAAUGGAGGAAACUCUGAUCCAGCCAUGCCGCGUGAGUGGAGAAGGCCUUCGGGUUGUAAAGCUCUUUUAAUCGUGAAGAUAAUGACGGUAGCGAUAGAAAAAGCUCCGGCUAAAUUCGUGCCAGCCGCCGCAGUAA